AAAAAAGGUAAGCUACUAAGAGCGAAUGGUGGAUGCCUUGACUGGUAAAGGCGAUGAAGGACGUACUAGACUGCGAUAAGCUACGGGGAGCUGUCAAGAAGCUUUGAUCCGUAGAUUUCCGAAUGGGGCAACCCAAUGUAUAGAGAUAUACAUUACCUAUAUAGGAGCGAACGAGGGGAAUUGAAACAUCUUAGUACCCUCAGGAAAAGAAAUCAAUAGAGAUUGCGUCAGUAGCGGCGAGCGAAAGCGCAAGAGGGCAAACCCAGUGCUUGCACUGGGGGUUGUAGGACUGCAAUGUGCAAGAGGUAAGUUUAGCAGAACAUUCUGGAAAGUAUAACCAUAGAGGGUGAUAGUCCCGUAUGCGAAAAACAAACCUUAGCUAGCAGUAUCCUGAGUAGGGCGGGACACGAGGAAUCCUGUCUGAAUCUGGGUCGACCACGAUCCAACCCUAAAUACUAAUACCAGAUCGAUAGUGCACAAGUACCGUGAGGGAAAGGUGAAAAGAACUGAGGUGAUCAGAGUGAAAUAGAACCUGAAACCAUUUGCUUACAAUCAUUCAGAGCCCUAUGUAGCAAUACAGGGUGAUGGACUGCCUUUUGCAUAAUGAGCCUGCGAGUUGUGGUGUCUGGCAAGGUUAAGCAAACGCGAAGCCGUAGCGAAAGCGAGUCUGAAUAGGGCGCUUAGUCAGAUGCUGCAGACCCGAAACGAAGUGAUCUAUCCAUGAGCAAGUUGAAGCUAGUGUAAGAACUAGUGGAGGACUGAACCCAUAGGCGUUGAAAAGCCCCGGGAUGACUUGUGGAUAGGGGUGAAAGGCCAAUCAAACUUCGUGAUAGCUGGUUCUCUCCGAAAUAUAUUUAGGUAUAGCGUUGUGUCGUAAUAUAAGGGGGUAGAGCACUGAAUGGGCUAGGGCAUACACCAAUGUACCAAACCCUAUCAAACUCCGAAUACCUUAUAUGUAAUCACAGCAGUCAGGCGGCGAGUGAUAAAAUCCGUCGUCAAGAGGGAAACAACCCAGACUACCAGCUAAGGUCCCUAAAUCUUACUUAAGUGGAAAACGAUGUGAAGUUACUUAAACAACCAGGAGGUUGGCUUAGAAGCAGCCAUCCUUUAAAGAAAGCGUAAUAGCUCACUGGUCUAGUGAUUUUGCGCGGAAAAUAUAACGGGGCUAAAGUAAGUACCGAAGCUGUAGACUUGCACACAACUUAGAUUAUUUAAGUUUAGAAUAUGAGAAACUAAGUUAUAUGUUUAGUUAUAUUUUUACUGAUUUUUAUAGAGUAAAGAUAGAAAUAAAACUUAGUAAAAUCAGUAAAAAUAUUCUUAGACUAAAGUUAAGUAGUUUAAGUUGUGUGCAAGUGGUAGGAGAGCGUUCUAUUUGCGUCGAAGGUAUACCGGUAAGGAGUGCUGGAGCGAAUAGAAGUGAGCAUGCAGGCAUGAGUAGCGAUAAUUAAUGUGAGAAUCAUUAACGCCGUAAACCCAAGGUUUCCUACGCGAUGCUCGUCAUCGUAGGGUUAGUCGGGUCCUAAGUCGAGUCCGAAAGGGGUAGACGAUGGCAAAUUGGUUAAUAUUCCAAUACCAACAUUAGUGUGCGAUGGAAGGACGUUUAGGGCUAAGGGGGCUAGCGGAUGGAAGUGCUAGUCUAAGGUCGUAGGAGGUUAUACAGGCAAAUCCGUAUAACAAUACUCCGAGAACUGAAAGGCUUUUUGAAGUCUUCGGAUGGAUAGAAGAACCCCUGAUGCCGUCGAGCCAAGAAAAGUUUCUAAGUUUAGCUAAUGUUGCCCGUACCGUAAACCGACACAGGUGGGUGGGAUGAGUAUUCUAAGGCGCGUGGAAGAACUCUCUUUAAGGAACUCUGCAAAAUAGCACCGUAUCUUCGGUAUAAGGUGUGGUUCGCUUCGUAUUAGGAUUUACUCCGAAAGCGAAGAAACUUACAACAAAGAGUCCCUCCCGACUGUUUACCAAAAACACAGCACUCUGCUAACUCGUAAGAGGAUGUAUAGGGUGUGACGCCUGCCCGGUGCUCGAAGGUUAAUUGAUGGGGUUAGCAUUAGCGAAGCUCUUGAUCGAAGCCCGAGUAAACGGCGGCCGUAACUAUAACGGUCCUAAGGUAGCGAAAUUCCUUGUCGGUUAAAUACCGACCUGCAUGAAUGGCGUAACGAGAUGGGAGCUGUCUCAAAGAGGGAUCCAGUGAAAUUGUAGUGGAGGUGAAAAUUCCUCCUACCCGCGGCAAGACGGAAAGACCCCGUGGACCUUUACUACAGCUUGACACUGCUACUUGGAUAAGAAUGUGCAGGAUAGGUGGGAGGCUUUGAGUAUAUGACGCCAGUUGUAUAUGAGCCAUUGUUGAGAUACCACUCUUUCUUAUUUGGGUAGCUAACCAGCUUGAGUUAUCCUCAAGUGGGACAAUGUCUGGUGGGUAGUUUGACUGGGGCGGUCGCCUCCCAAAUAAUAACGGAGGCUUACAAAGGUUGGCUCAGAACGGUUGGAAAUCGUUCGUAGAGUAUAAAGGUAUAAGCCAGCUUAACUGCAAGACAUACAAGUCAAGCAGAGACGAAAGUCGGUCUUAGUGAUCCGGUGGUUCUGUGUGGAAGGGCCAUCGCUCAAAGGAUAAAAGGUACCCCGGGGAUAACAGGCUGAUCUCCCCCAAGAGCUCACAUCGACGGGGAGGUUUGGCACCUCGAUGUCGGCUCAUCGCAUCCUGGGGCUGGAGCAGGUCCCAAGGGUAUGGCUGUUCGCCAUUUAAAGCGGUACGCGAGCUGGGUUCAGAACGUCGUGAGACAGUUCGGUCCCUAUCUGCCGUGGGCGUAAGAAGAUUGAAGAGAUUUGACCCUAGUACGAGAGGACCGGGUUGAACAAACCACUGGUGUAGCUGUUGUUCUGCCAAGAGCAUCGCAGCGUAGCUAAGUUUGGAAAGGAUAAACGCUGAAAGCAUCUAAGCGUGAAGCCAACUCUAAGAUGAAUCUUCUCUAAGCUCUCUAGAAGACUACUAGUUUGAUAGGCUGGGUGUGUAAUGGAUGAAAGUCCUUUAGCUGACCAGUACUAAUAGAGCGUUUGGCUUAUCUUUAAUAAAGCAU
Molecule: ribosomal RNA, 3071 nt
Filed under: Campylobacter coli
Lineage: Bacteria; Pseudomonadati; Campylobacterota; Epsilonproteobacteria; Campylobacterales; Campylobacteraceae
Description: 23S ribosomal RNA
Rfam family: Bacterial large subunit ribosomal RNA
Source: RNAcentral